UACGUAGGGGGCAAGCGUUGUCCGGAAUUAUUGGGCGUAAAGGGCGCGUAGGCGGCGGGGUAAGUCUGGUGUGAAAUCUCGGAGCUCAACUCCGAAAUUGCACUGGAUACUGCUCUGCUAGAGGGCUGGAGAGGAGAUCGGAAUUCACGGUGUAGCAGUGAAAUGCGUAGAUAUCGUGAGGAAGACCAGUGGCGAAGGCGGAUCUCUGGACAGCUCCUGACGCUGAGGCGCGAAGGCUAGGGGAGCAAACGGG
Molecule: ribosomal RNA, 253 nt
Filed under: uncultured bacterium
Lineage: Bacteria
Description: partial 16S ribosomal RNA
Rfam family: Bacterial small subunit ribosomal RNA
Source: RNAcentral